AAGGGAACUUGAACCCUCAUGGCAUCAUUUCCAUCAGGCAUUUCCUGCAGAGACCUGUUUCCCUGAACUGUAAAAAUUCCCACACAUUUGACACACACAGAAAGAGAGUAAGAGACUGCAGAUAAAAAAAAGAAGUUAUUUGAGAGAAUAAAAACUGAGGACGAGAAGCCUUGGAAAUGAAAGUAGAAAGUCCGCUCCUAUACUCACCGCUCCGAUGAGUGUUGUACCUUGGAUUUCCAGCCAAUGCACCAAAAUGAUAUGGCUCCAAUGACUGGAGAAACACCAGGGUCCUUCGUCUCCUGCCAAUUAGACAAAUGACAUGGACACACGUGGAGUAGUUUUAAGGAGUGGAAAGUUUAAUUAAGAAAGAAGAAGAAAAGCUCCCCCUGUACAGAGGAAAGGGGUACCCGAAUGGAGAAAACGCCAUGUGCAGUGGAAAAGCAGUUGGAUAUAUUGGGAGGCUGAAGGAGGUGGUGUCUGAUUUGCAUAGGGUCCAGGGAAUUGGUGUGACCAGAUGUGUCAUUCAUGUAGCCCAUGAAAAACCUGGCCCUCUCACCCUAGUCUUUUAAUAUGCUAAUGAUGGGCGCCAUGAUGUCCUGCACACGUGGUGUUAUCUGGAGAUGGCCAUGACACCUGGCACAAGUUGUGACAAGGACAAGAGAGCGGGAACGGCCCUGUUGGGUGGACCUGGUUUCUAAUCACCAGUAUUUGCAUAUCAAUGCUUGCUGGUCUGGUUUUUCAAGCUGCUUUCUGUUAGAAAAGAAAUGUUUUGGGGGUUGCUUUUUAUUAAACCAAAAUUCCACUGAGAACCAUUACCCUUUCUAGCUGCCUAAAAAUUAUUUCUUAGUAACUCCUGUAUUAACAACACUAUUUACAGUUGCAAAGUCACGAAACAAACAAAGGUGUUUAUCAAUCUUUGACUGAAUAAUGUACUAAUAGGUAAUUUGUGCAUAUACCUGCAAUACUACAUAGCUUUAAAAAACAAUGAAGACAGGCAAUUUGCAGCAACAUGGAUGGAGCUGAAGUCCAUUAUCCUAGGUGAAGUAACUGAAAGGUGAAAUAACUGAAAAUCAAAUACCACAUAUUUCCACUUGCAUGUAGGAAAUAAACAUUUAGUAUACAUGGAAAUAAAGAUGAAAAUAAUAGACACUGGGGACUCCAAAAUGGGGAAGGGUGAGAGAGGUUGAGGUUUGAGAAACUACCUAUUCCUAUUUGGUUAAUGGGUACACUACAAGCCCAAUCCCACACAGUAUGCAAUAUAUCCAUGUAACAAACAUGCAUAUGUACCCUUUGAAUCUUAAAAAUCACUAAAUUGAAAAAUAUUUAAAAAGUACAUUUAUAAAUAUUUUAUUCAUUUAACUUCUAUAAACCAGAAAGCAAGACCUCACCAGAUAUUGAAUCUGCCGCCACUUUGACCUUAAACACCCUGGCCUCCAG
Molecule: long non-coding RNA, 1437 nt
Filed under: Homo sapiens (human)
Lineage: Eukaryota; Metazoa; Chordata; Mammalia; Primates; Hominidae
Description: HSALNT0283042
Source: RNAcentral